RNAcentral lists this non-coding RNA (45 nucleotides) under Schistosoma margrebowiei. Lineage: Eukaryota; Metazoa; Platyhelminthes; Trematoda; Strigeidida; Schistosomatidae. The record is from RNAcentral.
AUCCAACUGACGAGUCCUAAAUAGGACGAAACACGCGUCCUGGAU